UGUCAUUUUUUCAUAUUUCAUACUGUUAAACACUAUUAUUUAAGGUUCAAAGCUGGCAUUGGUUUCACACUCAGAGAUAAGGAGGUUCCUGAAUGUCUUGAUAACUGAAGAGCAGAAAGCAUCAGUAACACAGUCAGAGCACAGAGAGCAUUAACACACAACUGAUCUGAUCAUAUUCACCAUGAACAAAUACAUGCUGCUGCUUUUCAUUAUGGCAUCAGGUGUGGCAGCUGUGGACAAAAUUGAGCCAAAUAAAGGGACGAGCAUCAUCAAAACAGAAGGAGAGACUGUAACGCUGAGCUGCUCUUAUGAUUCAGACAGUGAAAAUGUACGUCUGUACUGGUACAGACAAUAUCCUAAUGGAGAACCUCAAUAUUUAUUAUAUGAAGGAGCACGAUCAAACAGUGUUAAGCGCAGCUCUGAUCCUCGAUUCCAGUCAAGCACUUCUCGCAUAUUGACUGAACUUAUUAUUAGUAGUGUGACUGUGUCAGAUUCAGCUCUCUAUUACUGCGCUUUAAGAGUUGAAGCCCAGUGAUACAAAACACGAAACAAGUCGUACAAAAACUGC
Molecule: non-coding RNA, 568 nt
Organism: Onychostoma macrolepis
Lineage: Eukaryota; Metazoa; Chordata; Actinopteri; Cypriniformes; Cyprinidae
Source: the annotation of a RefSeq genome assembly